This 226-nucleotide unclassified non-coding RNA is filed under the name Hevea brasiliensis (rubber tree). The record is from RNAcentral. Lineage: Eukaryota; Viridiplantae; Streptophyta; Magnoliopsida; Malpighiales; Euphorbiaceae.
ACUUUUGGUGCUUGUAUGCUUAUGGGAAUCCGACUUGAAUCAGGGAAGAUUUUAUCUGCACUAGCAACAUUCAGAAUACUUCAAGUGCCAAUUUAUAACCUUCCUGAUACAAUUUCUAUGAAGUUCAGACCAAGGUUUCCCUUGAUAGAAUUGCAUCUUUCCUUUGUCUUGAAGACCUGCAAUCUGAUGUUGUUGAGAAGCUUCCACGAUUUAGUUCCGACACAGG